Long non-coding RNA from Fukomys damarensis (Damara mole-rat), 875 nucleotides. RefSeq lists it as uncharacterized. The transcript has 3 exons. The record is from RefSeq and is a predicted model, not a curated record. Lineage: Eukaryota; Metazoa; Chordata; Mammalia; Rodentia; Bathyergidae.
AGGUCAUUUAUUCUACGCUUAUCUCUCUCCUCGGACCCGUGGCAAUCUUCGCACGCUUUCCGUCUACUCUUUUUGCGCCGUUCCUAUCCCUCCUACCUCUGUGACGUCAUUUGCUCUUUGGCCAGCAGCCUUGGUGAAACUGUUGAACAGCAGUCAGAUCACGUCACUCCCCAGCUCCGAAAUAUCCCAGCACUUGGCGUUGUAUUUAGAAUAAACUCUGGAAUCUGGAUGCUGCCUGCCUCUUCCGUGUCUACUCCCCUCCUCCCUUGCUCCUCUCCUCCAAUCCCGCGGCCCUUCUUGUGGUUCUUUGGAUACCCAAGACCAUCUUGCCUUAGGACCUUUAUACUCACUCUUUCCUCUGCCUGCGGAGGUCCAGGCUUCUUCCCCUGUGACUUCAGGCUUCUCGUCACGAUUCCCGUACACGUACCAUCGGAAGAGAGCACCCUGACUCCUGCCGUGGGUUUUUGUUUCCUUGUCCUGCUUUACUUUUCCUGAACUACAUCAAUUAUUUUUUACUGGAUCCAUGGCCAGAAUACAUCUUGCUCACUGCAGUACUUAGAACAAUGCUAACCAAUGAGUGAGACCUGACCCAAAUCUCAUAAAGGGGAGAAAGUGACAGCUCUGAAAACUACUGCCGUAAAAACAGAGGAGAAGAGGCCGGAAGGAAAACUGUUAACAAGAGAAGAAGCCCAAGUUAGUGCCAUCUUUGGAAGAGCCAGGUGCCUGAAACAUCUACAUAAUGACGGGGACGCCAGCAGUCUCUAAGGACCACGAGAGCACUCUAGAAAGAGCCACUAUUCAUCAAAGAUGGCAGAGCAGGACCAGGAGGUGCCGACUCUGAUGACUGGGUACCCAUCUCUGCACAUCUUCAACAG